RNAcentral lists this ribosomal RNA (433 nucleotides) under uncultured ammonia-oxidizing beta proteobacterium. Its description in RNAcentral is "bacterial SSU rRNA". It matches the Rfam family "Bacterial small subunit ribosomal RNA", at positions 197 to 611 of the family's 1533-position model. Lineage: Bacteria; Pseudomonadati; Pseudomonadota; Betaproteobacteria. The record is from RNAcentral.
UGGAGAAAAGCAGGGGAUCGUAAGACCUUGCGCUUUGGGAGCGGCCGAUGUCUGAUUAGCUAGUUGGUGGGGUAAUGGCCUACCAAAGCUUCGAUCAGUAGCUGGUCUGAGAGGACGGCCAGCCACACUGGGACUGAGACACGGCCCAGACUCCUACGGGAGGCAGCAGUGGGGAAUUUUGGACAAUGGGCGCAAGCCUGAUCCAGCCAUGCCGCGUGAGUGAAGAAGGCCUUCGGGUUGUAAAGCUCUUUCAGCCGGGAAGAAAAGGCUGCGAUUAAUAAUCGCAGUUCAUGACGGUACCGGAAGAAGAAGCACCGGCUAACUACGUGCCAGCAGCCGCGGUAAUACGUAGGGUGCGAGCGUUAAUCGGAAUUACUGGGCGUAAAGGGUGCGCAGGCGGUUUUGUAAGUCAGAUGUGAAAUCCCCGGGCUUA